This 346-nucleotide ribosomal RNA is filed under the name uncultured bacterium. RNAcentral's name for it is "bacterial SSU rRNA". It matches the Rfam family "Bacterial small subunit ribosomal RNA", at positions 449 to 793 of the family's 1533-position model. The record is from RNAcentral.
AGUAUGUUAAUAGCAUAUUCAUUUGACGUUAGCUGCAGAAGAAGCACCGGCUAACUCCGUGCCAGCAGCCGCGGUAAUACGGAGGGUGCGAGCGUUAAUCGGAAUUACUGGGCGUAAAGCGCAUGCAGGUGGUUUGUUAAGUCAGAUGUGAAAGCCCGGGGCUCAACCUCGGAAUUGCAUUUGAAACUGGCAAACUAGAGUACUGUAGAGGGGGUAGAAUUUCAGGUGUAGCGGUGAAAUGCGUAGAGAUCUGAAGGAAUACCGGUGGCGAAGGCGGCCCCCUGGACAGAUACUGACACUCAGAUGCGAAAGCGUGGGGAGCAAACAGGAUUAGAUACCCUGGUAG